Molecule: non-coding RNA, 315 nt
Organism: Erythranthe guttata (spotted monkey flower)
Lineage: Eukaryota; Viridiplantae; Streptophyta; Magnoliopsida; Lamiales; Phrymaceae
Source: RefSeq, a predicted model, not a curated record
CUUACGUUUCUUACCAUGUAGAAACUUCUGGUGGAGAAAAAGGUGAGGUACUUACGUACAAGGAUGCGGAUGUUGACAUUGAUGCUGGUUCAGAACUUGUUAGGAGAAUAGCAAAGAUGGAUCCUGGAAUUGGUGGUUUUGGUGGACUUUUCCCUUUGGGGGAUUCGUAUCUGGUGGCUGGUACAGACGGAGUGGGUACCAAACUUAAGCUGGCUUUCGAGACUGGAAUCCAUGAGACCAUUGGCAUUGAUUUGGUUGCAAUGAGUGUUAACGAUAUUAUCACUUUUGGGGCGAAGCCCUUGUUUUUCCUUGAUU